RNAcentral lists this ribosomal RNA (1372 nucleotides) under uncultured bacterium. RNAcentral's name for it is "bacterial SSU rRNA". It matches the Rfam family "Bacterial small subunit ribosomal RNA", at positions 28 to 1381 of the family's 1533-position model. The record is from RNAcentral.
GAUGAACGCUGGCGGCGUGCCUAAUACAUGCAAGUCGAGCGAACGGACGAGAAGCUUGCUUCUCUGAUGUUAGCGGCGGACGGGUGAGUAACACGUGGAUAACCUACCUAUAAGACUGGGAUAACUUCGGGAAACCGGAGCUAAUACCGGAUAAUAUUUUGAACCGCAUGGUUCAAAAGUGAAAGACGGUCUUGCUGUCACUUAUAGAUGGAUCCGCGCUGCAUUAGCUAGUUGGUAAGGUAACGGCUUACCAAGGCAACGAUGCAUAGCCGACCUGAGAGGGUGAUCGGCCACACUGGAACUGAGACACGGUCCAGACUCCUACGGGAGGCAGCAGUAGGGAAUCUUCCGCAAUGGGCGAAAGCCUGACGGAGCAACGCCGCGUGAGUGAUGAAGGUCUUCGGAUCGUAAAACUCUGUUAUUAGGGAAGAACAUAUGUGUAAGUAACUGUGCACAUCUUGACGGUACCUAAUCAGAAAGCCACGGCUAACUACGUGCCAGCAGCCGCGGUAAUACGUAGGUGGCAAGCGUUAUCCGGAAUUAUUGGGCGUAAAGCGCGCGUAGGCGGUUUUUUAAGUCUGAUGUGAAAGCCCACGGCUCAACCGUGGAGGGUCAUUGGAAACUGGAAAACUUGAGUGCAGAAGAGGAAAGUGGAAUUCCAUGUGUAGCGGUGAAAUGCGCAGAGAUAUGGAGGAACACCAGUGGCGAAGGCGACUUCCUGGUCUGUAACUGACGCUGAUGUGCGAAAGCGUGGGGAUCAAACAGGAUUAGAUACCCUGGUAGUCCACGCCGUAAACGAUGAGUGCUAAGUGUUAGGGGGUUUCCGCCCCUUAGUGCUGCAGCUAACGCAUUAAGCACUCCGCCUGGGGAGUACGACCGCAAGGUUGAAACUCAAAGGAAUUGACGGGGACCCGCACAAGCGGUGGAGCAUGUGGUUUAAUUCGAAGCAACGCGAAGAACCUUACCAAAUCUUGACAUCCUUUGACAACUCUAGAGAUAGAGCCUUCCCCUUCGGGGGACAAAGUGACAGGUGGUGCAUGGUUGUCGUCAGCUCGUGUCGUGAGAUGUUGGGUUAAGUCCCGCAACGAGCGCAACCCUUAAGCUUAGUUGCCAUCAUUAAGUUGGGCACUCUAAGUUGACUGCCGGUGACAAACCGGAGGAAGGUGGGGAUGACGUCAAAUCAUCAUGCCCCUUAUGAUUUGGGCUACACACGUGCUACAAUGGACAAUACAAAGGGCAGCGAAACCGCGAGGUCAAGCAAAUCCCAUAAAGUUGUUCUCAGUUCGGAUUGUAGUCUGCAACUCGACUACAUGAAGCUGGAAUCGCUAGUAAUCGUAGAUCAGCAUGCUACGGUGAAUACGUUCCCGGGUCU